UGGGGAAUUUUGGACAAUGGGCGAAAGCCUGAUCCAGCCAUGCCGCGUGAGUGAAGAAGGCCUUCGGGUUGUAAAGCUCUUUUAGUCGGAAAGAAAGAGUUGCAAUGAAUAAUUGUGAUUUAUGACGGUACCGACAGAAAAAGCCCCGGCUAACUACGUGCCAGCAGCCGCGGUAAUACGUAGGGUGCGAGAGUUAAUCGGAAUUACUGGGCGUAAAGGGUGCGCAGGCGGUCUUGCAAGUCAGAUGUGAAAGCCCCGGGCUUAACCUGGGAAUUGCGUUUGAAACUACAAGACUAGAGUGCAGCAGAGGGGAGUGGAAUUCCAUAUGUAGCAGUGAAAUGCGUAGAGAUGUGGAAGAACACCGAUGGCGAAGGCAGCUCCCUGGGUUGACACUGACGCUCAUGCACGAAAGCGUGGGGAGCGAACA
This 427-nucleotide ribosomal RNA is filed under the name uncultured beta proteobacterium. Its description in RNAcentral is "bacterial SSU rRNA". It matches the Rfam family "Bacterial small subunit ribosomal RNA", at positions 355 to 774 of the family's 1533-position model. Lineage: Bacteria; Pseudomonadati; Pseudomonadota; Betaproteobacteria. The record is from RNAcentral.